UUCCAGACUCCUACGGGAGGCAGCAGUGGGGAAUAUUGCACAAUGGGGGGAACCCUGAUGCAGCGACGCCGCGUGGGUGAAGGAGUAUUUCGGUAUGUAAAGCCCUAUCAGCAGGGAAGAACAAUGACGGUACCUGACUAAGAAGCACCGGCUAAAUACGUGCCAGCAGCCGCGGUAAUACGUAUGGUGCAAGCGUUAUCCGGAUUUACUGGGUGUAAAGGGAGCGUAGACGGCCAUGCAAGCCAGGGGUGAAAGCCCGGGGCCCAACCCCGGGACUGCCCUUGGAACUGUGCGGCUAGAGUGCGGGAGGGGCAGGCGGAAUUCCUAGUGUAGCGGUGAAAUGCGUAGAUAUUAGGAGGAACACCAGUGGCGAAGGCGGCCUGCUGGACGGUAACUGACGCUGAGGCUCGAAAGCGUGGGGAGCAAACAGGAUUAGAUACCCCUGUAA
RNAcentral lists this ribosomal RNA (448 nucleotides) under uncultured bacterium. Its description in RNAcentral is "bacterial SSU rRNA". It matches the Rfam family "Bacterial small subunit ribosomal RNA", at positions 329 to 793 of the family's 1533-position model. The record is from RNAcentral.